Molecule: ribosomal RNA, 440 nt
Filed under: uncultured bacterium
Lineage: Bacteria
Description: partial 16S ribosomal RNA
Rfam family: Bacterial small subunit ribosomal RNA
Source: RNAcentral
CCUACGGGUGGCAGCAGUGGGGGAUAUUGCACAAUGGGGGAAACACUGAUGCAGCGACGCCGCGUGUGGGAAGAAGGUCCUCUGGAUUGUAAACCACUGUCCCCAGGGACGAAGAUGACGGUACCUGGGGCGGAAGCUCCGGCUAACUACGUGCCAGCAGCCGCGGUAAUACGUAGGGAGCGAGCGUUGUCCGGAAUUACUGGGUGUAAAGGGAGCGUAGGCGGGACUGCAAGUUGGGUGUCAAAUCUACCGGCUCAACCGGUAGCCGCACUCAAAACUGCAGUUCUUGAGUGAAGUAGAGGCAGGCGGAAUGCGUAGUGUAGCGGUGAAAUGCGUAGAUAUUAGGAGGAACACCAGUGGCGAAGGCGGCCUGCUGGGCUUUUACUGACGCUGAGGCUCGAAAGUGUGGGGAGCAAACAGGAUUAGAUACCCGGGUAGUC